RNAcentral lists this ribosomal RNA (252 nucleotides) under uncultured bacterium. Its description in RNAcentral is "partial 16S ribosomal RNA". It matches the Rfam family "Bacterial small subunit ribosomal RNA", at positions 525 to 776 of the family's 1533-position model. The record is from RNAcentral.
ACGGAGGGUGCAAGCGUUGUCCGGAUUUAUUGGGUUUAAAGGGUGCGUAGGCGGAUUAUUAAGUCAGUGGUGAAAGUUUACGGCUCAACCGUAAAAGUGCCAUUGAUACUGGUAGUCUUGAGUACAGUAGAGGUAGGCGGAAUUUAUGGUGUAGCGGUGAAAUGCAUAGAUACCAUAAAGAACACCGAUAGCGAAGGCAGCUUACUAUACUGAGACUGACGCUGAGGCACGAAAGCGUGGGGAGCGAACAGG